GAUGAACGCUGGCGGCGUGCCUAAUACAUGCAAGUCGAGCGAACGGACGAGAAGCUUGCUUUUCUGAUGUUAGCGGCGGACGGGUGAGUAACACGUGGAUAACCUACCUAUAAGACUGGGAUAACUUCGGGAAACCGGAGCUAAUACCGGAUAAUAUUUUGAACCGCAUGGUUCAAAAGUGAAAGACGGUCUUGCUGUCACUUAUAGAUGGAUCCGCGCUGCAUUAGCUAGUUGGUAAGGUAACGGCUUACCAAGGCAACGAUGCAUAGCCGACCUGAGAGGGUGAUCGGCCACACUGGAACUGAGACACGGUCCAGACUCCUACGGGAGGCAGCAGUCGGGAAUCUUCCGCAAUGGGCGAAAGCCUGACGGAGCAACGCCGCGUGAGUGAUGAAGGUCUUCGGAUCGUAAAGCUCUGUUAUUAGGAAAGAACAUAUGUGUAAUUAACUGUGCACAUCUUGACGGUACCUAAUCAGAAAGCCACGGCUAACUACGUG
Molecule: ribosomal RNA, 497 nt
Filed under: uncultured bacterium
Lineage: Bacteria
Description: partial 16S ribosomal RNA
Rfam family: Bacterial small subunit ribosomal RNA
Source: RNAcentral